RNAcentral lists this ribosomal RNA (497 nucleotides) under uncultured bacterium. Its description in RNAcentral is "partial 16S ribosomal RNA". It matches the Rfam family "Bacterial small subunit ribosomal RNA", at positions 28 to 507 of the family's 1533-position model. The record is from RNAcentral.
GAUGAACGCUGGCGGCGUGCCUAAUACAUGCAAGCCGAGCGAACGGACGAGAAGCUUGCUUCUCUGAUGUUAGCGGCGGACGGGUGAGUAACACGUGGAUAACCUACCUAUAAGACUGGGAUAACUUCGGGAAACCGUAGCUAAUACCGGAUAAUAUUUUGAACCGCAUGGUUCAAAAGUGAAAGACGGUCUUGCUGUCACUUAUAGAUGGAUCCGCGCUGCAUUAGCUAGUUGGUAAGGUAACGGCUUACCAAGGCAACGAUGCAUAGCCGACCUGAGAGGGUGAUCGGCCACACUGGAACUGAGACACGGUCCAGACUCCUACGGGAGGCAGCAGUAGGGAAUCUUCCGCAAUGGGCGAAAGCCUGACGGAGCAACGCCGCGUGAGUGAUGAAGGUCUUCGGAUCGUAAAACUCUGUUAUUAGGGAAGAACAUAUGUGUAAGUAACUGUGCACAUCUUGACGGUACCUAAUCAGAAAGCCACGGCUAACUACGUG